AUACGGAGGGGGCUAGCGUUGUUCGGAAUUACUGGGCGUAAAGCGCACGUAGGCGGCUUUGUAAGUCAGAGGUGAAAGCCUGGAGCUCAACUCCAGAACUGCCUUUGAGACUGCAUCGCUUGAAUCCAGGAGAGGUCAGUGGAAUUCCGAGUGUAGAGGUGAAAUUCGUAGAUAUUCGGAAGAACACCAGUGGCGAAGGCGGCUGACUGGACUGGUAUUGACGCUGAGGUGCGAAAGCGUGGGGAGCAAACAGGAUUAGAAACCCCGGUAGUCC
This 274-nucleotide ribosomal RNA is filed under the name uncultured bacterium. Its description in RNAcentral is "partial 16S ribosomal RNA". It matches the Rfam family "Bacterial small subunit ribosomal RNA", at positions 523 to 796 of the family's 1533-position model. The record is from RNAcentral.